GCGUUCUAAGGGCGUUGAAGCAUGAUCGUAAGGACAUGUGGAGCGCUUAGAAGUGAGAAUGCCGGUGUGAGUAGCGAAAGACGGGUGAGAAUCCCGUCCACCGAUUGACUAAGGUUUCCAGAGGAAGGCUCGUCCGCUCUGGGUUAGUCGGGUCCUAAGCUGAGGCCGACAGGCGUAGGCGAUGGAUAACAGGUUGAUAUUCCUGUACCACCUAUAAUCGUUUUAAUCGAUGGGGGGACGCAGUAGGAUAGGCGAAGCGUGCGAUUGGAUUGCACGUCUAAGCAGUAAGGCUGAGUAUUAGGCAAAUCCGGUACUCGUUAAGGCUGAGC
This 329-nucleotide ribosomal RNA is filed under the name Staphylococcus aureus. Its description in RNAcentral is "partial 23S ribosomal RNA". It matches the Rfam family "Bacterial large subunit ribosomal RNA", at positions 1236 to 1561 of the family's 2925-position model. The record is from RNAcentral. Lineage: Bacteria; Bacillati; Bacillota; Bacilli; Caryophanales; Staphylococcaceae.